UACGUAGGUGGCAAGCGUUGUCCGGAUUUACUGGGCGUAAAGAGCGCGCAGGCGGUCGUUCAAGUCGCGUGUGAAAGCCCCCGGCUCAACUGGGGAGGGUCACGCGAUACUGAUCGACUCGAAGGCAGGAGAGGGAAGUGGAAUUCCCGGUGUAGUGGUGAAAUGCGUAGAUAUCGGGAGGAACACCAGUGGCGAAGGCGACUUCCUGGCCUGUUCUUGACGCUGAGGCGCGAAAGCUAGGGGAGCAAGCGGG
This 253-nucleotide ribosomal RNA is filed under the name uncultured bacterium. RNAcentral describes it as "partial 16S ribosomal RNA". It matches the Rfam family "Bacterial small subunit ribosomal RNA", at positions 524 to 776 of the family's 1533-position model. The record is from RNAcentral.